ACACAUGCAAGUCGAGGGAGAAGCCUUCGGGCUGAAACCGGCGCACGGGUGCGUAACGCGUAUACAAUCUGCCUUUCACAUAGGGAUAGCCCGAAGAAAUUUGGAUUAAUACCUAAUGGUAUAUAGGAGCGGCAUCGUUUUUAUAUUAAAGCUACGGUGGUGAAAGAUGAGUAUGCGUUCUAUUAGCUAGUUGGAGAGGUAACGGCUCCCCAAGGCGACGAUAGAUAGGGGUUCUGAGAGGGAUGUCCCCCACACUGGUACUGAGAUACGGACCAGACUCCUACGGGAGGCAGCAGUGAGGAAUAUUGGACAAUGGUCGGAAGACUGAUCCAGCCAUGCCGCGUGCAGGAUGAAGGUCCUAUGGAUUGUAAACUGCUUUUGUAAGGGAAGAAUAAGGGGUACGUGUACUUUGAUGACGGUACCUUACGAAUAAGCAUCGGCUAACUCCGUGCCAGCAGCCGCGGUAAUACGGAGGAUGCGAGCGUUAUCCGGAAUCAUUGGGUUUAAAGGGUCUGUAGGCGGGCUAAUAAGUCAGAGGUGAAAGCGUUCAGCUCAACUGAGCAACUGCCUUUGAAACUGUUAGUCUUGAAUGAUUGUGAAGUAGUUGGAAUGUGUAGUGUAGCGGUGAAAUGCUUAGAUAUUACACAGAACACCGAUAGCGAAGGCAUAUUACUAACAAUUUAUUGACGCUGAUGGACGAAAGCGUGGGGAGCGAACAGGAUUAGAUAUCCUGGUAGUCCACGCUGUAAACGAUGGAUACUAGCUGUUUGGAGCAAUCUGA
Molecule: ribosomal RNA, 781 nt
Filed under: uncultured Bacteroidota bacterium
Lineage: Bacteria; Pseudomonadati; Bacteroidota
Description: bacterial SSU rRNA
Rfam family: Bacterial small subunit ribosomal RNA
Source: RNAcentral